GAUGAACGCUAGCUACAGGCUUAACACAUGCAAGUCGAGGGGAAACGGCAUUAAGUGCUUGCACUUUUUGGACGUCGACCGGCGCACGGGUGAGUAACGCGUAUCCAACCUUCCCAUGACUAAGGGAUAACCUGCCGAAAGGCAGACUAAUACCUUAUGGUCUUCACUGACGGCAUCAGAUGUGAAGUAAAGAUUUAUCGGUUAUGGAUGGGGAUGCGUCUGAUUAGCUUGUUGGCGGGGUAACGGCCCACCAAGGCAACGAUCAGUAGGGGUUCUGAGAGGAGGGUCCCCCACAUUGGAACUGAGACACGGUCCAAACUCCUACGGGAGGCAGCAGUGAGGAAUAUUGAUCAAUGGGCGAGAGCCUGAACCAGCCAAGUAGCGUGCAGGAUGACGGCCCUAUGGGUUGUAAACUGCUUUUGUAUGGGGAUAAAGUCAAUCACGUGUGAUUGUUUGCAGGUACCAUACGAAUAAGGACCGGCUAAUUCCGUG
This 492-nucleotide ribosomal RNA is filed under the name uncultured bacterium. RNAcentral's name for it is "partial 16S ribosomal RNA". It matches the Rfam family "Bacterial small subunit ribosomal RNA", at positions 28 to 507 of the family's 1533-position model. The record is from RNAcentral.